This 377-nucleotide ribosomal RNA is filed under the name uncultured bacterium. RNAcentral's name for it is "bacterial SSU rRNA". It matches the Rfam family "Bacterial small subunit ribosomal RNA", at positions 28 to 404 of the family's 1533-position model. The record is from RNAcentral.
GACGAACGCUGGCGGCGUGCUUAACACAUGCAAGUCGAGCGGUAAGGCCCUUUCGGGGGUACACGAGCGGCGAACGGGUGAGUAACACGUGGGUGACCUGCCCUCAGCUCUGGGAUAAGCCCGGGAAACUGGGUCUAAUACUGGAUAUGACUCCAUGACGCAUGUUGUGGGGUGGAAAGCCUUGUGCGGCUGGGGGAUGGGGCCCCGCGGCCUAUCAGCUUGUUGGUGGGGUGAUGGCCUACCAAGGCGACGACGGGUAGCCGGCCUGAGAGGGCGACCGGCCACACUGGGACUGAGACACGGCCCAGACUCCUACGGGAGGCAGCAGUGGGGAAUCUUGCGCAAUGGGCGAAAGCCUGACGCAGCGACGCGCGUGA